GCCAAGAAGUAUGUUUCCCCCACCUCCUAUCAAAGACUGUGUCCCUAAUUUUAAAAGUCUAACGGUGCUAGUCUCUUUCUGGAUUCAUCUAUGCUAUGCCUGGACUCUCUCUGCCACAGAAACUCAGGGCCUCCCCCAACCAUCAUUCUCAGUAAGCUGACACAGGAACAGAAAAACAAGCACAGCAUGUUCUCAUUCGUAAGUGGGAAUUGAACAAUGAUAACACAUGAACACAGGUAGGUAAAUAUCACACACUGGGGCCUGUUGAGGGGUGAGGGGCUAGGGGAAAGCUAGCCAGGUGAGGGCGAGAGGAGAUGGAUUGAAGGAGGCUCCUGAGUCAUAUGACACGUGGCCCAUGCAGUGGAAAGGGACCCC
This 375-nucleotide long non-coding RNA is filed under the name Callithrix jacchus (white-tufted-ear marmoset). RNAcentral describes it as "lncRNA (ENSCJAG00000060898.2)". The record is from RNAcentral. Lineage: Eukaryota; Metazoa; Chordata; Mammalia; Primates; Cebidae.